This 100-nucleotide small nuclear RNA is filed under the name Catagonus wagneri (Chacoan peccary). Lineage: Eukaryota; Metazoa; Chordata; Mammalia; Artiodactyla; Tayassuidae. The record is from RNAcentral.
GCUCUCUUGGGCAGCACAUAAAAUAACCACAAUACCGAGAAGAUUCGCAUGGCCCUUGCGAAGGAAUGACAAGCAAAUUCGUGAAGCAUUCCAUAUUGAA